AGUGAACGCUGGCGGUAGGCCUAACACAUGCAAGUCGAACGGCAGCACAGUAAGAGCUUGCUCUUACGGGUGGCGAGUGGCGGACGGGUGAGGAAUACAUCGGAAUCUACUUUUUCGUGGGGGAUAACGUAGGGAAACUUACGCUAAUACCGCAUAAGACCUACGGGUGAAAGCAGGGGAUCUUCGGACCUUGCGCGAUUGAAUGAGCCGAUGUCGGAUUAGCUAGUUGGCGGGGUAAAGGCCCACCAAGGCGACGAUCCGUAGCUGGUCUGAGAGGAUGAUCAGCCACACUGGAACUGAGACACGGUCAAGACUCCUACGGGAGGCAGCAGUGGGGAAUAUUGGACAAUGGGCGCAAGCCUGAUCCAGCCAUACCGCGUGGGUGAAGAAGGCCUUCGGGUUGUAAAGCCCUUUUGUUGGGAAAGAAAGGCAGCAGGUUAAUACCCCGCUGUUCUGACGGUACCCAAAGAAUAAGCACCGGCUAACUUCGUG
This 492-nucleotide ribosomal RNA is filed under the name uncultured bacterium. RNAcentral describes it as "partial 16S ribosomal RNA". It matches the Rfam family "Bacterial small subunit ribosomal RNA", at positions 29 to 507 of the family's 1533-position model. The record is from RNAcentral.